Molecule: long non-coding RNA, 148 nt
Organism: Aedes albopictus (Asian tiger mosquito)
Lineage: Eukaryota; Metazoa; Arthropoda; Insecta; Diptera; Culicidae
Exons: 3
Source: RefSeq, a predicted model, not a curated record
GACCUGUCCGUAUUUUUCCUGAACAAAGCAGUUCGCAUGGACGGCAGGGAUGCUCGAAAUUGACUCGGAUCUGUAUGUUGAUGGUUAGCGAAUUACUAAAUGAAUUUAUAACUCUCUCGCGGAAUAAAGUUUUCAUGAAUUCGGUUAA